This 432-nucleotide ribosomal RNA is filed under the name uncultured bacterium. Its description in RNAcentral is "partial 16S ribosomal RNA". It matches the Rfam family "Bacterial small subunit ribosomal RNA", at positions 29 to 506 of the family's 1533-position model. The record is from RNAcentral.
AACGAACGCUGGCGGCAUGCCUAACACAUGCAAGUCGAACGAGACCUUCGGGUCUAGUGGCGCACGGGUGCGUAACGCGUGGGAACCUGCCCUUAGGUUCGGAAUAACUCAGAGAAAUUUGAGCUAAUACCGGAUAAUGUCUUCGGACCAAAGAUUUAUCGCCCUUGGAUGGGCCCGCGUAGGAUUAGCUUGUUGGUGGGGUAAUGGCCUACCAAGGCGACGAUCCUUAGCUGGUCUGAGAGGAUGAUCAGCCACACUGGGACUGAGACACGGCCCAGACUCCUACGGGAGGCAGCAGUGGGGAAUAUUGGACAAUGGGCGAAAGCCUGAUCCAGCAAUGCCGCGUGAGUGAUGAAGGCCUUAGGGUUGUAAAGCUCUUUUACCAGGGAUGAUAAUGACAGUACCUGGAGAAUAAGCUCCGGCUAACUCCGU